RNAcentral lists this transfer RNA (71 nucleotides) under Phycisphaerae bacterium. RNAcentral's name for it is "tRNA-Gln". It matches the Rfam family "tRNA". From Rfam's summary of the family: Transfer RNA (tRNA) molecules are approximately 80 nucleotides in length. RNAcentral also lists the same sequence under 2 other names. The record is from RNAcentral. Lineage: Bacteria; Pseudomonadati; Planctomycetota; Phycisphaerae.
UGGGGAUUGGUGUAACGGUAGCACAACUGACUCUGGAUCAGUUUGUCUAGGUUCGAAUCCUAGAUCCCCAG